This 73-nucleotide transfer RNA is filed under the name Stegodyphus mimosarum. It matches the Rfam family "tRNA". From Rfam's summary of the family: Transfer RNA (tRNA) molecules are approximately 80 nucleotides in length. Their secondary structure includes four short double-helical elements and three loops (D, anti-codon, and T loops). The record is from Rfam by way of RNAcentral. Lineage: Eukaryota; Metazoa; Arthropoda; Arachnida; Araneae; Eresidae.
GCCUUCGUGGUGUAGUGGUCAACACGCUGGGCGCGUAUUCCAGAGAUCCGUGGUUCAAGUCCCAGCGAAGGCG